AUGUGAUGAUGAAUUUGAAUUUCUUCACCUGAAGUUCAGUGUGUAGAUCAGAGAAACGAGCUUUUUAACCCUGAGCAUC
This is a small nucleolar RNA of Mobula hypostoma (lesser devil ray), 79 nucleotides long. NCBI's taxonomy places the organism in Eukaryota, Metazoa, Chordata, Chondrichthyes, Myliobatiformes, Myliobatidae. The record is from RefSeq and is a predicted model, not a curated record.